RNAcentral lists this long non-coding RNA (891 nucleotides) under Sus scrofa (pig). RNAcentral's name for it is "lncRNA (ENSSSCG00025022419.1, ENSSSCG00035042299.1, ENSSSCG00065079217.1, ENSSSCG00070003716.1)". Lineage: Eukaryota; Metazoa; Chordata; Mammalia; Artiodactyla; Suidae. The record is from RNAcentral.
AUUCUGGGAAUGCCCUUGACUAGCAGUGUUUCCAGACAAGACAGAAUCGAAAAAAGAAAAGAAAUCCAAGAAGAGAGAGGCAAGACGAAGAGGAGAAAAUCUGUUUCCUGAGACACUGGCUGUGUCUGAAUCAUCUUCCAACAUGAUUCAAGCAACCUUGGCAUGAAAAACCAGGUCAAAUCUACAUAAAUUCAUUGCCACGCCACUCCCACUAUGAUUAUUCAGGAGGGGGAAAAAAGUGUUAGAGGUGAUAAUGAUCCUGAAAUAAGUUGAGGCACAAACACAAGCUUAUAAUAACACAUCCUUUUGUCUUUUUCUGUGACAGGUGGAACCGGGAGUGUUUUGGCUGCAGACACAGGGAUUCCAGCCCUGGGCCCUGUCCUAUCACUGCCUUCCCCGAGCCUUGGCUUUCUGGGCCUUCUGCGUUUCUGUGGUAUAUGGUUACUCUCCCCAACAAGGUGGCAGCACAGCUCUCCUCCGCCUCCUUCGACUCUUGAGUUACUUAUUCAUUGGUAUUGUUGUGCCUACCUGUUCAGCACAGAGGACCUGCUUGUUUCCUGCUUCUGUCCCAGCCAACACCACUUUCCCCAGUCAGGGGACAGUCAAGUCUAUCUAUGUAAAAGAGCCGUCAAGAGUCACCAAAAAGUACUGCGCAGUUGCCUUCCAUAAAAAGGAUACACCAGCAUCCGCUCUCACACCAGGUGCAGGAGAAUACCUGCGUUCUCGCAUCCCCAUCACGCCUGGAUUUUCAUCUAGCUUUUUAAUACUGUGAGUAUCAAUGGAUUAAAAAAAAAGAUAUUCUUUUCCAUCUGUAUUUUCCUGAAUAUGAGUGAAAUCCAGCAUCUUUUCAAAUGUUUCCAGUCAUUUGUAUUUAUUUGCCCAUGAAUUGCC